RNAcentral lists this transfer RNA (77 nucleotides) under Shouchella clausii. RNAcentral's name for it is "tRNA-Thr". Lineage: Bacteria; Bacillati; Bacillota; Bacilli; Caryophanales; Bacillaceae. The record is from RNAcentral.
GUAGUGAAUGGUAGACGGGUACACCCCGUUCUCGUAAAACGGGCAAAUGCGGGCUGCGUUCCGGCGCAUUGUCUACA